GACGAACGCUGGCGGCGUGCUUAACACAUGCAAGUCAUGGGGGCCCGCAAGGGCAACCGGCGAACGGGUGCGGAACACGUACGCAACUUACCCAAAACUGAGGAAUAGCCCGGGGAAACCCGGAUUAAUACCUCGUAACAUAAUGGAGUGGCAUCACUUUAUUAUUAUAGCUACGGCGGUUUUGAUGGGCGUGCGCCUGAUUAGGUAGUUGGCGGGGUAACGGCUCACCAAGGCUACGAUGUCUAGGGGGCUGAGAGGAUGAUCCCCCACACUGGUACUGAGACACGGACCAGACUCCUACGGGAGGCAGCAGUAAGGAAUAUUGGACAAUGGCCGCAAGGCUGAUCCAGCCAUGCCGCGUGCAGGAUGAAGGUGCUCUGC
This 381-nucleotide ribosomal RNA is filed under the name uncultured bacterium. Its description in RNAcentral is "bacterial SSU rRNA". It matches the Rfam family "Bacterial small subunit ribosomal RNA", at positions 28 to 421 of the family's 1533-position model. The record is from RNAcentral.